UCCUUUUUAAAUUACUGAAGGAAAAAUUAGCUUUAGUGUAGAUUAUAUAUGUGCUUUAAUGCUUACAGCAUGGUUCUAAUUUAUGUUUACUUUUCCUACUUCUAGGGCUGAGCUUCCCCUUUUGGUAGCAAGAAAAUAUUAUACAGAAAGGGUAUUAGGUUCAUUCGAUCUAACUGGAAGAUAUAACAUUCUUGCUUGAUGCAUUUGGGGGCUGGUACUCCAUUGUUUUGGACAAUACUUCUACCAUUACUUUGACGCAUUUCAGCUGGGAAGGGCACAUGUCUACAUGGCUUUUCUUCGUUGAAUGUGAAGAAGUUCUAGGCAAUGAAAACCAUGUGAAGAACCAGAAACACUACUAGAGGGUUAAGUUGUGGGUUUGCUUUUAGGAACGAGGCUCCAGCGAGAGAAUAUGAGCCCAUGAGUUCGUCGUAUAAUAUGUAUGAUUAAACAACUCUCUCCUUUUAUGGGAAUGGACAUGACAAUUAUGAUGAUGCUGUUGUUCCUUUGAAAAGGAAGAGCCAUGAGUCCGUCGUGUAAUAUGUAUGAUUAAACAACUCUCCUUUUAUGGGAAUGGACAUGAUGAUUGUGAUGAUGAUGUUGUUCCUUUGAAAAGGUUGUGACAAUGGAAAUUAUUUUGAGCAAAAUCGGAAUUUACCGAUUGGAUUCGUAUUUUGGCAAGGCAACUGUGAUUGCAGCCAUGGCGGAUUUCGACAUUAAAUUCUGAUAAUAACAUAUCUGAGCUUCAAAAAACCAUUAUUCUUGGAGAUAUGAAGAACAUCUAUCUACAUAGAGGUGCACAUUUCGGGUUUUUUUCUCAAACCGGUACCGGUUCAAAUCGUUUCAGUUUGGGUCAACAACGGUUGAAACUAGUAUUUGGUGAAACUGGUUUACAAGUGGAAAGGGAUUGGUUUCGAUUGGUGUCAUAAACCGGUUCUGGUUCACAAACCAGGUUUUUUGUUCACCUCUACAUUUACCUAUAACCAAAUGUUGAGCUAACUUGGAAUUUACAGAUUGGAUCCGUCCGUAUCUUGGCUAGGCAACUCGGUCG
This is a long non-coding RNA of Helianthus annuus (common sunflower), 1048 nucleotides long. RefSeq lists it as uncharacterized. The record is from RefSeq and is a predicted model, not a curated record. Lineage: Eukaryota; Viridiplantae; Streptophyta; Magnoliopsida; Asterales; Asteraceae. The transcript is spliced from 4 exons.